UCUUACUACAAAAAAGAAAUGGUAAUGAUUUUAAAUGAGAAGUUGACUAAGGACCCCAAUCAAAAGCCAGUUGCGAUACACUGCCAAUCCCUGAUUUUUUUUCCCCAUCAAGCAUUAAGGCCAUAUAAAUGUAAGACCGAGAUUUGCUGGUUGCACGAAGUACGGACAUUGUUGACUUUUAGUUCAGAAGGGAUCUAGACACAUGACCUAACCAAUGAUUAAAAAGCAUGAUCACUAGAGAUGUCAAGACAGUGAUGCCAGGAAUCUUCAUCUGGGGCUUUCUCAAGGAGUCAUCACCUUGAAGUAGAAUGUGUUAUUACUUCCAUAUGCCAGAGGCUUGACCAUGAAAAAGUCGAUAAAUUCUCUAAGAAUGUCAUUAAAUUCUGAAUUCAAUUCAUGAUCUGCCACAAAUACUUCAAAUUCAACUUAAAAUCAACCCUAGAAGGGUUUUCUCGCCAAGAAUCACCUUGAAGUAGAAUCAUGAUUUCAAGUGCCAGCGGUGGCGGACUGCACCCACUGGCACAUACCGAGCUGGGCCAAUACCAGUAUAUGGCACAAGUAGAUGUCAACUGGAUCCAAUUUUCAGAAUAUGUUAAUUAGAAAGGAUUUCUUUAAAAAAAAAUGCUUGAGCUUAUAGAAAGGCACAUCUGCUGAUACUGCAUGGCACAACAUGUCCUGUGCCAGUGACUGGCACCAAUACUGGAAUUGAUGCCUAAAUCUUUUGAGUAAAAAAUGCAUUAUUACAUUCAACAUACAGAGGUUUAAUCAAGAAAACUUCUAAGCAUUUCAUUGAAUUCUGAAUUCAACUCAUGACUUGCCACAAAGACCUCAACGCAACCUUAAACUCAAUCCAAAUAAAAUUAAUACUUUCCUGACCUAACAUAUUAUCGAACUAAGACUUCUUUAGACAUUAAUGCUCAAAAUAGGACUAAGUUCACACAAUAUAGAACUCCUCAUCUCGUCUUAGACUCGCAUAACAAUUAAAAAUGCCACAUGACUUAAAAUAUAUUUCAUGGAGAACCCAACAAGAUUCUAAAUAGAAUUCUAAAGAUACAUCUCAACAAUUGCAACAAAUACCAAAUACCUAAUCAUAUCCUUAGACUAUUAGUGUCCCAAAUUCAUUUUCCUCAAUUGCAUAGUUAAGUCAUUAUAUGACCAGGCUUCUUAAUUGGAAGAAUUAUGGUUAGUUUUCCUUCAUCUAGCAUGUGGUGUGAACACUACAAAAGAGAGUCCUUUACAUGGCAUUAUGAUCACCAUCAGAUCUAACCCGUUGUAUCUUUAAUCCAAAAGGGAGAUCUAUUGUUGACACAGAGUUCUGCUUUUGGUGUCUUGAACCUUCAUACUAGAUGGUGUGAAAGAAAUGAGGAUGCAUCCUCUAGUUUGGAAUUGCUCCUUAGCAGGAAGAGCUAGAGAAUGCAGGUUGGUCAAUAAAUAAUUCCUUCCCAAGUUGGCUCCAAAAUAAUCAUAUCUUCAUGAAAGAUUUUGUCUUUUAAAGAGUAGAUUUUCUGAUCCUGACCAGCAGCACCAUUUGUUAUCAGUCCAAUCAUGACAUAUUUUGGUGCAGAUGAAAUUAAAUAUGGCCCACUUGCCUGAACAAAUCCAAUUCAAACAUUCCCCCCCUCCUUUCAAACCUGGAAGAUUCAAGGAUAUGGAAGAAAUAGUUGGACAAUCAUAAACUAGAAAACAUUAAAAGGUAAUAUUCACUUCAUCUUACAUACAAUUCACAAUAAUCACUUUUAAUUUCACAACUAUGUCAGAGGAGGACUGAAAAUAGUCAAUCGCUAAUGCUUCAUAGACCAUAAAAAGUGUUUAUCAGUAUAAGUGAUAAAAUACAAAAUUGUUCAUUUGCUAUUCAAUGCAUUUCUAUCAAGAAUGACUACCAAGCAUAACAAACUACUCGUUUUCUUUUAAAUGCUAUAAGAAAAAUAAAAGUCUAUCGUUAUAUACCAAUACUAGUUUAAUCUAAAUAUAUUCAUCAGAACUAAAUAGGCCAAGCUGAAAAGAAACAUGACAUUUAUUGCCUCUAUCCUCAAGACAUAAAAACCAUGAAAUCUCAUUCUUAAGUAUGGUGGGACCUGUUGGACCAGUUUUGAUUCAUGGUUGGAAUAAUUCAUUUCCACCAAUUUUUGAUAUCCAUGAUCUAGGAAUUUGAUAUGUCUGUAGAGUGUUGGAAUGUCUAACUCAUAUUGACUUGCCAAUAUGUAUCAACAAGGGUUGUCCAAGAUGAAUGCAAGUGUGCUGAUAAGGAGCAACCAUGUUAUAUUCUUUUGGGAGGUUGGAAAGGAAGAGAGAUAUCAUUUCAAACAAAUUUGUUUAAUUAGAGGGAACUCCAGUCGCCUCAAGCAAUAAUGAUGUAGAGAUCAAGGAAAUUUCUGGUAUUUGGUAAGAAUAAGAAUGAAGCUUUCCUUGAAAAUAAUUUAGUCUCCAGAAGCAAAAACUUCAUGUAGGAAGUCGUUUCCAAUAUAAUUAAACCAUCCAAAUAGUCAUACCAGGUCUGAGAAAAGUUAAAGUAAACUUUCAACAGAAUUUUGGAAUACAACAGCACAAAAUUAGAACAGAAAAGUUUCUCUUCUGAUAAGUAAUAUUGCUAAUAGGGACUUUAAUUAGAGUUUAAGUAGCCUUCACUAUUUGGUUUUCAUAUAGUUUCUCCCGAAAGUAACUUAAACUACAAUAAGAAAACUUCAAGUGAGGAGUCCUUGUUUCUUUUAUAAUGAGCUCUCCCAACUACUAUACCAGUUGAUAGAAAAAUUAAUAAAAUAUUAUUCGCAACAAAGAUAGCUCAACCUAACAAUAACAAGACAAUUCAAA
This 2808-nucleotide long non-coding RNA is filed under the name Phoenix dactylifera (date palm). RNAcentral's name for it is "long non-coding RNA (PDAC_LNC006152)". Lineage: Eukaryota; Viridiplantae; Streptophyta; Magnoliopsida; Arecales; Arecaceae. The record is from RNAcentral.